CCUACGGGUGGCAGCAGUGGGGAAUAUUGCACAAUGGGCGGAAGCCUGAUGCAGCGACGCCGCGUGAGGGAUGACGGCCUUCGGGUUGUAAACCUCUUUCAGCACGGAAGAAGCGAGAGUGACGGUACGUGCAGAAGAAGCGCCGGCUAACUACGUGCCAGCAGCCGCGGUAAUACGUAGGGCGCAAGCGUUGUCCGGAAUUAUUGGGCGUAAAGAGCUCGUAGGCGGUUUGUCGCGUCUGCUGUGAAAGCCCGGGGCUUAACCCCGGGUGUGCAGUGGGUACGGGCAGACUUGAGUGCAGUAGGGGAGACUGGAAUUCCUGGUGUAGCGGUGAAAUGCGCAGAUAUCAGGAGGAACACCGAUGGCGAAGGCAGGUCUCUGGGCUGUUACUGACGCUGAGGAGCGAAAGCAUGGGGAGCGAACAGGAUUAGAUACCCCUG
This 440-nucleotide ribosomal RNA is filed under the name uncultured bacterium. RNAcentral describes it as "bacterial SSU rRNA". It matches the Rfam family "Bacterial small subunit ribosomal RNA", at positions 338 to 789 of the family's 1533-position model. The record is from RNAcentral.